RNAcentral lists this ribosomal RNA (252 nucleotides) under uncultured bacterium. Its description in RNAcentral is "partial 16S ribosomal RNA". It matches the Rfam family "Bacterial small subunit ribosomal RNA", at positions 524 to 776 of the family's 1533-position model. The record is from RNAcentral.
CACGUAGGGUGCAGCGUUGUCCGGAAUUAUUGGGCGUAAAGAGCUCGUAGGCGGUUUGUCGCGUCUGCUGUGAAAACUGGAGGCUCAACCUCCAGCCUGCAGUGGGUACGGGCAAACUAGAGUGCGGUAGGGGAGAUUGGAAUUCCUGGUGUAGCGGUGGAAUGCGCAGAUAUCAGGAGGAACACCGAUGGCGAAGGCAGAUCUCUGGGCCGUAACUGACGCUGAGGAGCGAAAGCAUGGGGAGCGAACAGG